This 1393-nucleotide ribosomal RNA is filed under the name Escherichia coli. RNAcentral's name for it is "partial 23S ribosomal RNA". It matches the Rfam family "Bacterial large subunit ribosomal RNA", at positions 1556 to 2925 of the family's 2925-position model. The record is from RNAcentral. Lineage: Bacteria; Pseudomonadati; Pseudomonadota; Gammaproteobacteria; Enterobacterales; Enterobacteriaceae.
CUGAGGCGUGAUGACGAGGCACUACGGUGCUGAAGCAACAAAUGCCCUGCUUCCAGGAAAAGCCUCUAAGCAUCAGGUAACAUCAAAUCGUACCCCAAACCGACACAGGUGGUCAGGUAGAGAAUACCAAGGCGCUUGAGAGAACUCGGGUGAAGGAACUAGGCAAAAUGGUGCCGUAACUUCGGGAGAAGGCACGCUGAUAUGUAGGUGAAGUCCCUUGCGGAUGGAGCUGAAAUCAGUCGAAGAUACCAGCUGGCUGCAACUGUUUAUUAAAAACACAGCACUGUGCAAACACGAAAGUGGACGUAUACGGUGUGACGCCUGCCCGGUGCCGGAAGGUUAAUUGAUGGGGUCAGCGCAAGCGAAGCUCUUGAUCGAAGCCCCGGUAAACGGCGGCCGUAACUAUAACGGUCCUAAGGUAGCGAAAUUCCUUGUCGGGUAAGUUCCGACCUGCACGAAUGGCGUAAUGAUGGCCAGGCUGUCUCCACCCGAGACUCAGUGAAAUUGAACUCGCUGUGAAGAUGCAGUGUACCCGCGGCAAGACGGAAAGACCCCGUGAACCUUUACUAUAGCUUGACACUGAACAUUGAGCCUUGAUGUGUAGGAUAGGUGGGAGGCUUUGAAGUGUGGACGCCAGUCUGCAUGGAGCCGGCCUUGAAAUACCACCCUUUAAUGUUUGAUGUUCUAACGUGGACCCGUGAUCCGGGUUGCGGACAGUGUCUGGUGGGUAGUUUGACUGGGGCGGUCUCCUCCUAAAGAGUAACGGAGGAGCACGAAGGUUGGCUAAUCCUGGUCGGACAUCAGGAGGUUAGUGCAAUGGCAUAAGCCAGCUUGACUGCGAGCGUGACGGCGCGAGCAGGUGCGAAAGCAGGUCAUAGUGAUCCGGUGGUUCUGAAUGGAAGGGCCAUCGCUCAACGGAUAAAAGGUACUCCGGGGAUAACAGGCUGAUACCGCCCAAGAGUUCAUAUCGACGGCGGUGUUUGGCACCUCGAUGUCGGCUCAUCACAUCCUGGGGCUGAAGUAGGUCCCAAGGGUAUGGCUGUUCGCCAUUUAAAGUGGUACGCGAGCUGGGUUUAGAACGUCGUGAGACAGUUCGGUCCCUAUCUGCCGUGGGCGCUGGAGAACUGAGGGGGGCUGCUCCUAGUACGAGAGGACCGGAGUGGACGCAUCACUGGUGUUCGGGUUGUCAUGCCAAUGGCACUGCCCGGUAGCUAAAUGCGGAAGAGAUAAGUGCUGAAAGCAUCUAAGCACGAAACUUGCCCCGAGAUGAGUUCUCCCUGACCCUUUAAGGGUCCUGAAGGAACGUUGAAGACGACGACGUUGAUAGGCCGGGUGUGUAAGCGCAGCGAUGCGUUGAGCUAACCGGUACUAAUGAACCGUGAGGCUUAACCUU